CUUGAACUUUUCAUUCUUCUGCCUCGGUAUCCUUUGUAGCUGAGUUUAGUGUGCAAUAUCACCCCUGGCUUUUAAACUACUGAAGUUUUUCUUGAUAUUUUUUUCAAAUCGUGAGGAGUUGGUUCCAGACCUGGGAUUUAAAUAAGUAUUUUAGUUCUUACAGAUGCUAAACUUCCAACUUAAUCUCAUUUCUGGAUGGAGCUCCGUAAACAAAAAGGAGAAAAAAAAAAUGUUCCUGUGGCCAAAAUUUUGAAAACUUCUACUUCAGAGCUACCUUAUACUGUAUGUAUUAGUCUGCUUUCCUGUCACUGGGAUAAAGUACCUGACACCAACAAUUUCAAGAGGGAGAUGUUUAUUUUGACUCAGUUUCCAUGGAUGCAGUUCAUGUCUGGUUGGUUCUGAGGCAACAAUGCCAUGGCGGAAGAGCAUGGCAGAGGAAAGCUCUUUACCGAACGGAAGCCAGGAAACAAGGAGAAGGGAAGAGCAAAGGGUAAGCAUACAUCCUUCCAAGUUCAAUGAAAAUAUCAGAUGUCAUAUUUUCUAUGAAAAACUUCAAUUCCAGCCAAUGACACAAUUUAUAUUCAAAUAAAAUAUUAUGAGUAUCACAAAGAAUUAGAGAAUAUAAGCACCUAGGAGGAGGCUCCCUGGUUGCCAUUCCACCACUCCCAGGGCAGAGGAGGUGAGCUGCACUGGUGCCAGCAGCAUCCCCACCACCACUGGUGGAAAUGAGAAGACAUGUAAACAAGCCUCAAAAACAGAUUUCCAGAUCACCUAAAGCAACCUCAAAGGGAAACAAGAUGUAACAAUCUGAUAUUCAACCAUCUGGACUCCCUGAGCUGGCAACAAAGAAGGAUCUGGAAAGAAUGAAAUCAGAAAGAAUUUCUCACAUAACAGCAGAGAUUGUGCCCAUAGUGCAAGAAAUGAUCAAUAAAUCUGAGAGGACACAGAUAAAAAAAAUAGAGGAUCUGAGGAACAUGAUGGAAUCCCAACAGAGGAAAAAGAAGGAAUCCAUAAAGCAGAUACAAACAGACUUCCAGGAGAUUAAAAACUCCACUGAAAGUCUACACAGCAGAAUGAACCAAUGUGAGGACAGAAUUUCAGAUACAGAAGAUAAGAUUGCAAUUAGUGACCAGGAAAAGUAAAAUGGCUUUAAAAUUGUAAGGGACCAUGAGAAAUCAAUCUAGCAGCUGUUAGAUGAUGCAAAGAAGAAUAACAUAAGACUGAUUGGAGUCAAUGAAGAAAGAGGAGAGAGUACAGAUGACAUAAAAAAUCUGUUCACAGAAGUGAUGGCAGAAAACUUCCAAGCAGGGGAAAAGCCCCUGACAUACAGAUAAGUAAAGUAUAUAGGACUCCAACUAGCCUUGAUCAAAAAAUGUCUACACAGCUGGGGAUUUAGCUCAGUGGUUUUGCC
RNAcentral lists this long non-coding RNA (1411 nucleotides) under Heterocephalus glaber (naked mole-rat). Its description in RNAcentral is "lncRNA (ENSHGLG00000049067.1)". Lineage: Eukaryota; Metazoa; Chordata; Mammalia; Rodentia; Bathyergidae. The record is from RNAcentral.